AUACGAAGGGGGCUAGCGUUGUUCGGAAUUACUGGGCGUAAAGCGCAUGUAGGCGGACAUUUAAGUCAGGGGUGAAAUCCCGGGGCUCAACCUCGGAACUGCCUUUGAUACUGGGUGUCUAGAGUGUGGAAGAGGUAAGUGGAAUUCCGAGUGUAGAGGUGAAAUUCGUAGAUAUCUGGAGGAACACCAGUGGCGAAGGCGACUUACUGGGCCGUAACUGACGCUGAUGCGCGAAAGCGUGGGGAGC
RNAcentral lists this ribosomal RNA (247 nucleotides) under uncultured bacterium. RNAcentral describes it as "partial 16S ribosomal RNA". It matches the Rfam family "Bacterial small subunit ribosomal RNA", at positions 523 to 769 of the family's 1533-position model. The record is from RNAcentral.